RNAcentral lists this ribosomal RNA (731 nucleotides) under uncultured bacterium. RNAcentral describes it as "bacterial SSU rRNA". It matches the Rfam family "Bacterial small subunit ribosomal RNA", at positions 73 to 815 of the family's 1533-position model. The record is from RNAcentral.
CUCUUCGGAGGGAAGAGAGGGUGAGUGACCGGCGGACGGGUGAGUAACGCGUGGGCAACCUGCCUUACACAGGGGGAUAACAAUUAGAAAUGAUUGCUAAUACCGCAUAAGACCACGGCCUCGCAUGAGGGAGUGGUAAAAACUGAGGUGGUGUAAGAUGGGCCCGCGUCUGAUUAGGUAGUUGGUGGGGUAGAAGCCUACCAAGCCGACGAUCAGUAGCCGACCUGAGAGGGUGACCGGCCACAUUGGGACUGAGACACGGCCCAAACUCCUACGGGAGGCAGCAGUGGGGAAUAUUGCACAAUGGGGGAAACCCUGAUGCAGCGACGCCGCGUGAGUGAGGAAGUAUUUCGGUAUGUAAAGCUCUAUCAGCAGGGAAGAAAAUGACGGUACCUGACUAAGAAGCCCCGGCUAACUACGUGCCAGCAGCCGCGGUAAUACGUAGGGGGCAAGCGUUAUCCGGAUUUACUGGGUGUAAAGGGAGCGUAGACGGAAGCGCAAGUCUGAUGUGAAAAUCCGGGGCCCAACCCCGGAACUGCAUUGGAAACUGUGAUUCUAGAGUGUCGGAGAGGCAAGUGGAAUUCCUGGUGUAGCGGUGAAAUGCGUAGAUAUCAGGAGGAACACCAGUGGCGAAGGCGGCUUGCUGGACGAUGACUGACGUUGAGGCUCGAAAGCGUGGGGAGCAAACAGGAUUAGAUACCCCUGGUAGUCCACGCCGUAAACGAUGACUA